GACUUUUUAAAAUCUGAAAUAUUAGAAAUGGUGUAAAUGGUGUCUUAUUGAAAUAUUUUAGCACAACAUGUGUUGUGUGUUUUUACCGGCUUCGGUUGUUUUUCAUGGUCAUACGUCUUCUACGCCAGCACGGUUGCAGCUCAAUGGCUGCUGGAAGAGAUACCCGCCCCUCAUGGCUGAAGAAGAGGAGGCAGUCAUACUACAGACAGAAAAUAUGGGAACGGGAAAAGUUCCCUAGUUGGUGUGCGAUCCCCCUGACACAAGCAAACCACAGAGCCGUCCCAAGUUCCCACACGAUACACAACACACCCAGUACGAGGAUAGGCUUGAGGAGCUGGUCCAGGAGGUGGAGGUGCCAAAUGAUGAUGAGGAGACCACAGGAGGAGAGGUGGAAACACAGCACCGAUUGAGAACACUCACUAUGCAUUUUAUGACUGCAUGUACCGUGUCAUCUGAGGUCUCAUUUGGGUAGAAAGUCAUCACCGUGCCCAAAAAGUUGAAUGCCCGACCACCGCAGGCUGGCAGCAACAAGACCAGCAGGUAGACCCACAUGACGAAUAGAAAUCGUAAAUCUGAUAACUACAAUUGCAGAUCUGAGGACAACAAGCAAUGCAUGUGUGCCUUCGCUGUGACACAUUACUUCCUGGCAUUGAACAGAAAAAGGUCUAGGGUGUGGCCUGGCAUAACCACUUUGUGAUUCCUGCCUUAAUUAGCAUAUGCGUUUGUGCGCAUGCAUACCUGAUAAGACAACAGAUUGAUUUUCUUUUUCUUUUCAAUAGCAUUAACAUAUCUUGAAAUAUGGGAUCCAAUUGUUUAGAUUUGUUUUUACCUAAAAUAUGCUUCCUUUUGCCGAGUAAUGGCUACAGUGUGGUUGACAAACUUAUGUAGUAGUGUAAUCCACUGUGAUCCUUGUUAUUGUUUUUUAUCUUAAUGACU
Entelurus aequoreus (snake pipefish) is the source of this 936-nucleotide long non-coding RNA. RefSeq lists it as uncharacterized. The transcript is spliced from 3 exons. NCBI's taxonomy places the organism in Eukaryota, Metazoa, Chordata, Actinopteri, Syngnathiformes, Syngnathidae. The record is from RefSeq and is a predicted model, not a curated record.